RNAcentral lists this ribosomal RNA (253 nucleotides) under uncultured bacterium. RNAcentral's name for it is "partial 16S ribosomal RNA". It matches the Rfam family "Bacterial small subunit ribosomal RNA", at positions 524 to 776 of the family's 1533-position model. The record is from RNAcentral.
UACGGGGGGGAGCAAGCGUUGUUCGGAUUUACUGGGCGUAAAGGCGCGUAGGCGGCCUGUUAAGUCGAACGUGAAAUCCCUGGGCUCAACCCAGGAACUGCGUCCGAUACUGGCAGGCUUGAAUUCGGGAGAGGGAUGCGGAAUUCCAGGUGUAGCGGUGAAAUGCGUAGAUAUUGGGAAGAACACCGGUGGCGAAGGCGGCGACCUGGUCCGAUACUGACGCUGAGGCGCGAAAGCGUGGGGAGCAAACAGG